UGCCUAUACUGCAGUCGAGCGGACAGAUGGGAGCUUGCUCCCUGAUGUUAGCGGCGGACGGGUGAGUAACACGUGGGUAACCUGCCUGUAAGACUGGGAUAACUCCGGGAAACCGGGGCUAAUACCGGAUGGUUGUUUGAACCGCAUGGUUCAAACAUAAAAGGUGGCUUCGGCUACCACUUACAGAUGGACCCGCGGCGCAUUAGCUAGUUGGUGAGGUAACGGCUCACCAAGGCAACGAUGCGUAGCCGACCUGAGAGGGUGAUCGGCCACACUGGGACUGAGACACGGCCCAGACUCCUACGGGAGGCAGCAGUAGGGAAUCUUCCGCAAUGGACGAAAGUCUGACGGAGCAACGCCGCGUGAGUGAUGAAGGUUUUCGGAUCGUAAAGCUCUGUUGUUAGGGAAGAACAAGUACCGUUCGAAUAGGGCGGUACCUUGACGGUACCUAACCAGAAAGCCACGGCUAACUACGUGCCAGCAGCCGCGGUAAUACGUAGGUGGCAAGCGUUGUCCGGAAUUAUUGGGCGUAAAGGGCUCGCAGGCGGUUUCUUAAGUCUGAUGUGAAAGCCCCCGGCUCAACCGGGGAGGGUCAUUGGAAA
Molecule: ribosomal RNA, 602 nt
Filed under: Bacillus sp. (in: firmicutes)
Lineage: Bacteria; Bacillati; Bacillota; Bacilli; Caryophanales; Bacillaceae
Description: bacterial SSU rRNA
Rfam family: Bacterial small subunit ribosomal RNA
Source: RNAcentral